Molecule: non-coding RNA, 69 nt
Organism: Podarcis lilfordi (Lilford's wall lizard)
Lineage: Eukaryota; Metazoa; Chordata; Lepidosauria; Squamata; Lacertidae
Source: the annotation of a GenBank genome assembly
GCUAUAGCUCAUUGGUAUAGCACAUGUUUUUCAUGCAUAAGGUCCCAUGUUCAAUCCCUAGUGUCUGCA